GGCAAUCAUCCUUGGUUAAGC
RNAcentral lists this non-coding RNA (21 nucleotides) under Gossypium hirsutum (cotton). The record is from RNAcentral. Lineage: Eukaryota; Viridiplantae; Streptophyta; Magnoliopsida; Malvales; Malvaceae.